This 315-nucleotide ribosomal RNA is filed under the name uncultured bacterium. Its description in RNAcentral is "bacterial SSU rRNA". It matches the Rfam family "Bacterial small subunit ribosomal RNA", at positions 8 to 311 of the family's 1533-position model. The record is from RNAcentral.
AGAGUUUGAUCAUGGCUCAGAUUGAACGCUGGAGGCGUGCUUAACACAUGCAAGUCGUGCGAGAAAGGGACUUCGGUCCUGAGUAGAGCGGCGCACGGGUGAGUAACGCGUGGGUGAUCUCCCUUGGUGAUCGGGAUAACAGUGGGAAACUGCUGCUAAUACCGGAUAAUCUUCAUGUUUAACUUCAUGGGGUAAAGGUGGCCUCUGCUUGCAAGCUACCACACCGAGAUGAGCCCGCGUCUCAUUAGCUAGUUGGUAUGGUAAUGGCCUACCAAGGCUACGAUGAGUACCUGGUCUGAGAGGAUGACCAGCCAC